Molecule: ribosomal RNA, 459 nt
Filed under: uncultured bacterium
Lineage: Bacteria
Description: partial 16S ribosomal RNA
Rfam family: Bacterial small subunit ribosomal RNA
Source: RNAcentral
CCUACGGGAGGCAGCAGUGAGGAAUAUUGGUCAAUGGGCGUAAGCCUGAACCAGCCAAGUCGCGUGAGGGAUGAAGGUUCUAUGGAUCGUAAACCUCUUUUAUAAGGGAAUAAAGUGCGGGACGUGUCCCGUUUUGUAUGUACCUUAUGAAAAAGCAUCGGCUAACUCCGUGCCAGCAGCCGCGGUAAUACGGAGGAUGCGAGCGUUAUCCGGAUUUAUUGGGUUUAAAGGGUGCGUAGGCGGGCUGUUAAGUCAGCGGUAAAAGCCCGGGGCUCAACCCCGGAGAGCCGUUGAAACUGGCUGUCGUGAGAUGUCGAGAGGUAUGCGGAAUGCGCAGUGUAGCGGUGAAAUGCUUAGAUAUUGCGCAGAACUCCGAUUGCGAAGGCAGCAUACCGGCGGCGAUCUGACGCUGAGGCACGAAAGCGUGGGUAUCGAACAGGAUUAGAUACCCUAGUAGUC